This 535-nucleotide ribosomal RNA is filed under the name Pseudomonas putida. RNAcentral's name for it is "bacterial SSU rRNA". It matches the Rfam family "Bacterial small subunit ribosomal RNA", at positions 106 to 635 of the family's 1533-position model. Lineage: Bacteria; Pseudomonadati; Pseudomonadota; Gammaproteobacteria; Pseudomonadales; Pseudomonadaceae. The record is from RNAcentral.
GUGAGUAAUGCCUAAGGAAUCUGCCUGGUACUGGGGGACAACGUUUCGAAAGGAACGCUAAUACCGCAUACGUCCUACGGGAGAAAGCAGGGGACCUUCGGGCCUUGCGCUAUCAGAUGAGCCUAGGUCGGAUUAACUAGUUGGUGAGGUAAUGGCUCACCAAGGCGACCAUCCGUANGUGGUCUGAGAGGAUGAUCAGUCACACUGGAACUGAGACACGGUCCAGACUCCUACGGGAGGCAGCAGUGGGGAAUUUUGUACAAUGGGANNAAGCCUGAUCCAGCCAUGCCGCGUGUGUGAAGAAGGUCUUCCGAUUGUAAAGCACUUUAAGUUGGGAGGAAGGGGAUUAACCUAAUACGUUAGUGUUUUGACGUUACCGACAGAAUAAGCACCGGCUAACUCUGUGCCAGCAGCCGCGGUAAUACAGAGGGUGCAAGCGUUNAUCGGAAUUACUGGGCGUAAAGCGCGCCGUAAGUGGUUUGUUAAGUUGGAUGUGAAAGCCCCGGGCUCAACCUGGGAACUGCAUUCAAAACUG